CUCUUAUCGAGAGCGGCAGAGGGACUGGCCCGAUGAAGCCCGGCAACCUAACUUUAUUUAAGCAUAAAGUGAAGGUGCUAAUUCCAGCAAAAUGGUGUAUUCCGUUUUGGUAGAUAAGAG
Molecule: regulatory RNA element, 120 nt
Organism: Listeria monocytogenes EGD-e
Lineage: Bacteria; Bacillati; Bacillota; Bacilli; Caryophanales; Listeriaceae
Rfam family: SAM riboswitch aptamer (S box leader)
About the family: The SAM riboswitch is found upstream of a number of genes which code for proteins involved in methionine or cysteine biosynthesis in Gram-positive bacteria.
Source: Rfam